This 318-nucleotide ribosomal RNA is filed under the name uncultured bacterium. RNAcentral describes it as "bacterial SSU rRNA". It matches the Rfam family "Bacterial small subunit ribosomal RNA", at positions 470 to 787 of the family's 1533-position model. The record is from RNAcentral.
UGACGGUACCAUAUGAAUAAGCACCGGCUAACUCCGUGCCAGCAGCCGCGGUAAUACGGAGGGUGCAAGCGUUGUCCGGAAUCACUGGGUGUAAAGGGUGUGUAGGCGGGGCAGUAAGUCAGAGGUGAAAGCCCACGGCUCAACCGUGGAAUUGCCUUUGAUACUGCUGUUCUUGAGUCCUGGAGAGGUCGCCGGAAUUCGUGGUGUAGCGGUGAAAUGCGUAGAUAUCACGAGGAACACCGGAGGUGUAGACGGGUGACUGGACAGGUACUGACGCUGAGGCACGAAAGCGUGGGGAGCAAACAGGAUUAGAUACCC